Misgurnus anguillicaudatus (oriental weatherfish) is the source of this 1214-nucleotide non-coding RNA. The record is from RefSeq and is a predicted model, not a curated record. Lineage: Eukaryota; Metazoa; Chordata; Actinopteri; Cypriniformes; Cobitidae.
UUCUUCAUCCAAUUGAAAUUUGAAUAUAUUAUUAAAUUGUGUCACCUAUGUAGUAGAACUGUGGAGUUAUUUUAGAAAUUGGUGCCCUCUAGGCCGAGAAAAGUCAGAAAAUGUGGUUUUUUGCACAUGUGGAUGAAAAACACCAAGUCCCAGAAUGCAUUGCUUCGCUGCUCUACGAGUCCACUCCCUAGUCACGCCUACCGGUUCGAGACGGCAGGAGGGAGGGAGGGAGAUUCAACUCGGCUAAAUACAACUUUUACAGACACGUCUGCAACGAUUUAGUUGAUAUAUUAUUAUAAAUACUACCUUUUCCACAUUGAAAUGAUGAUACGUUGCGUUGUAACGGGAUGUUCAACCAAAACCGGGAAAGGACAAGCAGUAAGUUUUCAUCAUUUGCCGCGGUGUAAACAAUGGCUGCGGGCUAUCAACCACGCAAAGUUCAGAGAAGACAACGAUGCGGUAAAAUUGAAAAACCUGAGGGUUUGCAGUCUCCAUUUCAAGCUGGAAUAUAUCGAACCCAAUGUACUCGGAAUGAAGCGAAACACGCUAAAGGACACUGCGAUUCCGUCUACAUGUACCUUCACAGACACGACGAACAGCCGGGGCCAUCUGGUAUCAAACGCAUUCGUCUACGUUAGAGGUUUCCGGAAGAAGAUGCAGAAGAAGGGGAAAAAAGAACAAUGAAAUCCUCCUUGCAUGGACCAGGUCUGUCAUAAAUCAUAUGUGGUUUUCCUGUGCAACCAGUAAGGGGGACGUCGAGGAGAAGCACGGUUCAACCAAAUGUUCUGCAAGAAAUCCAAGCAGUGGGUCUUGAAGAAAAGCUUCAUACCACACACCACACAGUUUGUAGACGAACUCAUCCAGAAGGCCAUUGACAAGACUCAAUCCAAACAUUGUGUUCAAAGUGCCAACGUCCUCACUUGCCCUGCCACAGCCUGUGCUGCCACCCAACAUUGCACCAGUGCCUAAACCAUCAAAGGAGGCUGCCACGACUUCUUUCAAAAGUCGCUUCUGAGACUGACACUUUCUAAUAAUAAUAAAAAUCACCUCUUCCCUGAGUCCUAUUGCUGUGUCUAAUCAGAUUCUGCCACCACUCUUUAUUUUUAUAUUAUUAUAUACUGUGUGUAUAUAUACACAAUGUUUUUGUAUAUAUUUUUGCUUUGUUUUUAUUUUGUGCAGGACAUUUUUAGAUGUAAAUUAUGUCAUUGUUUAUU